AAGUCGUAACAAGGUUUCCGUAGGUGAACCUGCGGAAGGAUCAUUCAAAAUAAAAGUGAAUUUUAUGGCACUUUUAAAAAAAUCCAUAUCCACCUUGUGUGCAAUGUAAUUUUGAAAGAGGAUUUAUUUCCUCUUUCUAAAAUCAUAUCAACUCUUUGCUUUGAACCUGUUUGUCUGAUAUAAAAAUAUUCUUGAAUAACUUAAUUCAAAAAUACAACUUUCAACAACGGAUCUCUUGGCUCUCGCAUCGAUGAAAAACGCAGCGAAAUGCGAUACGUAAUGUGAAUUGCAGAAUUCAGUGAAUCAUCGAAUCUUUGAACGCAUAUUGCGCUCUCUGGUAUUCCGGAGAGCAUGCUUGUUUGAGUAUCAGUAAACACCCUCAAGUCUUUCUUUUUUUUUAAAGGAGGAAUUGGAUUUGAGUGAUCCUAACGUGUAUAUAUUAUAUAUAUAUGGGAGGGCACUUGAAAUACAGGUGCAGCUGAACUUUCUUCUGAGCUAAAAACAUAUUUAUUUAUUCCUGCUUUGCGGCUGGAUUAUUACUUUGCUGCAGCUAAUAUAAAGGUUGAUUGUUCAAAUGCUGACUGAUUCAGGAAAUUUUUCANUAAAGCUGAAAGGCAAAACUGUAAACUCGAUCUCAAAUCAAGUAAGACUACCCGCUGAACUUA
RNAcentral lists this unclassified non-coding RNA (665 nucleotides) under Mortierella sp. FMR23-12. RNAcentral's name for it is "partial contains 18S rRNA, ITS1, 5.8S rRNA, ITS2 and 26S/28S rRNA". The stretch from base 216 to 369 matches the Rfam family "5.8S ribosomal RNA". The record is from RNAcentral. Lineage: Eukaryota; Fungi; Mortierellomycota; Mortierellomycetes; Mortierellales; Mortierellaceae.